RNAcentral lists this ribosomal RNA (253 nucleotides) under uncultured bacterium. Its description in RNAcentral is "partial 16S ribosomal RNA". It matches the Rfam family "Bacterial small subunit ribosomal RNA", at positions 524 to 776 of the family's 1533-position model. The record is from RNAcentral.
UACGGAGGGUGCAAGCGUUAUCCGGAUUCACUGGGUUUAAAGGGUGCGUAGGCGGGUAGGUAAGUCAGUGGUGAAAUCUCCGGGCUUAACCCGGAAACUGCCGUUGAUACUAUUUGUCUUGAAUACCGUGGAGGUGAGCGGAAUAUGUCAUGUAGCGGUGAAAUGCUUAGAUAUGACAUAGAACACCAAUUGCGAAGGCAGCUCACUACACGGUCAUUGACGCUGAGGCACGAAAGCGUGGGGAUCAAACAGG